UUUGUUUGUGGUCUUGAUUUGACUAACGUGCCUGUAAAUGUUAAUGUAGUUUCCAUGAACUUUUGUUUGAGGACCUGUUUGUAAUUUACUGGGAAGUUCCAGCACAAUGAUUGGGAAGGGUUUUGCUAAUUUACAAACUCAGCAGAGUUGGUUGCUAAUUAAAUUAAAAUAGGACCUAAUGGGACCUAUUAAGAUUGCUAAUUAAAAUAAACAUUUGCUGUGGGGAUUGAUAUGUCUAUGAAAUGCUUCCUGAUAGCUUCCGCAAACUGUGUUUCAGUUACUCAGUUUUAAAACUAAUUGUCUAUUUGCUUUUAAGAGUCAAAUCUUGAGAUGUUUGUCCAGGACAAAAUACUAUGUGCUGAUGAGAAAAUAGAGACAGAUUCAAAAUGGUUUGAAAGGAAGAAGGCAUAUUCUUCACUCGUUUAAGCAGAUCUGAGAUCAGGCUUGUUACUAUCAAACCUGAGAAUUUGAACACAUGAGCGAUGUAUUAAUCCCAAUUUCAGAUUGUUAUCUGACUGAUGUGGAUAGAAAAAAAUGCUUUAUUGAUGAAGGAAAUUUUUGAAAACAAGAAUAAGGAACCACGUCUCUUGAUUGCUGUGGGUUGACAGUAUUAAUAGAUGAACAUCAGUCUACUCUUUUGGUGAAAGAAGACCAGAAAGUAA
Non-coding RNA from Anas platyrhynchos (mallard), 662 nucleotides. NCBI's taxonomy places the organism in Eukaryota, Metazoa, Chordata, Aves, Anseriformes, Anatidae. The record is from RefSeq and is a predicted model, not a curated record.